Molecule: unclassified non-coding RNA, 335 nt
Filed under: soil metagenome
Description: partial contains 5.8S ribosomal RNA, internal transcribed spacer 2, and large subunit ribosomal RNA
Rfam family: 5.8S ribosomal RNA (bases 1-120)
Source: RNAcentral
GAUGAAGAACGUAGCGAAAUGCGAUAAGUAAUGUGAAUUGCAGAAUUCAGUGAAUCAUCGAAUCUUUGAACGCACAUUGCGCCCGCCAGUAUUCUGGCGGGCAUGCCUGUUCGAGCGUCAUUUCAACCAUCAAGCCCCCGGCUUGUGUUGGGGACCUGCGGCUGCCGCAGGCCCUGAAAAGCAGUGGCGGGCUCGCUGUCACACCGAGCGUAGUAGCAUACAUCUCGCUCUGGGCGUGCUGCGGGUUCCGGCCGUUAAACCACCUUCAUAACCCAAGGUUGACCUCGGAUCAGGUAGGAAGACCCGCUGAACUUAAGCAUAUCAAAAGCGGAGGA